This 423-nucleotide ribosomal RNA is filed under the name uncultured Glomeromycotina. RNAcentral describes it as "SSU rRNA". It matches the Rfam family "Eukaryotic small subunit ribosomal RNA", at positions 671 to 1092 of the family's 1831-position model. Lineage: Eukaryota; Fungi; Glomeromycota. The record is from RNAcentral.
AUGGUAUGCACUGGCUCGCUGACUCCUCCUUCUUGUAGAACCGUAAUGCCAUUAAUUUGGUGUUGCGGGGAAACAGGACUGUUACUUUGAAAAAAUUAGAGAGUUUAAAGCAGGCCAACGCCUGAAUACAUUAACAUGGAAUAAUGAAAUAGGACGUUCGAACCUAUUUUGUUGGUUUCUAGGAUUGACGUAAUGAUUAAUAGGGAUAGUUGGGGGCAUUAGUAUUCAAUUGUCAGAGGUGAAAUUCUUGGAUUUAUUGAAUACUGACUACUGCGAAAGCAUUUGCCAAGGAUGUUUUCAUUAAUCAAGAACGAAAGUUAGGGGAUCGAAGACGAUCAGAUACCGUCGUAGUCUUAACCAUAAACUAUGCCGACUAGGGAUCGGAUGAUGUUAAUUUUUUAAUGACUCAUUCAGCGCCUUACG